GGAGAGUUAGCUUAAUUGGCUAAAGCAGUAGUCUUGAAAACUACCGUCGGUUAAUACCGUUGAGGGUUCGAGUCCCUCACUCUCCU
RNAcentral lists this transfer RNA (86 nucleotides) under Acidobacteriota bacterium. RNAcentral's name for it is "Acidobacteria bacterium (wastewater metagenome) tRNA-Ser". It matches the Rfam family "tRNA". From Rfam's summary of the family: Transfer RNA (tRNA) molecules are approximately 80 nucleotides in length. Lineage: Bacteria; Pseudomonadati; Acidobacteriota. The record is from RNAcentral.